RNAcentral lists this long non-coding RNA (1343 nucleotides) under Anas platyrhynchos platyrhynchos (common mallard). RNAcentral's name for it is "lncRNA (ENSAPLG00000022814.1)". The record is from RNAcentral. Lineage: Eukaryota; Metazoa; Chordata; Aves; Anseriformes; Anatidae.
AUAAAAUGGGAAAUAUUAAAACAACUGCCUUCAACAUCCUAAAUAAUAGUUUGUUUUCUUUCUAAAAUAAAUGAAUUUGGACUACAAGCCAGUUUCAAGAGCAUAAAAAACAUUAAUGCUCCAUUAGGGUAAUUCAUCAGUACAUGCUUAACAGACUGAGUAUAAUGAAAACAAAACAAAACAAAACAAACAAAAAAAACAAAGCGCACACACACACACAUCAGAAAUAUUUUAAAAACCUCACAGUAUUAAAAAGUACAUUUUAAAAGGGGAUUCGCUUGUUUUAUAGACUAAAAUUAAUAAAUUAUAGCAAUUGAGUCUCAUCUACUUUAUGCUACUACUGAGAAUUAAAGGAGCAGGAAAAGUAAUCUAGAGUAAGUGAACGGGGCAAGCAAAAAAAGUGAAGGCAGGCAUGUGCUUCUGACCUCAGAUGAACUGCAAAUGCAUAAACUGUGCAGUCUUAUGAAAUGCUGAACACUUCCAGGAUCCAACAAAACCCUGCCUUUUGCUUUAUGCUUUUGACUAGCUGCUAUCAACGAAGGACAAACUAUAUUAACUGCUCACUCUAGAAUACAGCUCCCCACUCUGCAGUAUAUCGCUUAUUAGUUGCUUGAGCAGCUGCUUCUCUCCUUGAUCCACUGUUGCAGCUGUGGGACAGGACAAGUGAAAGAGAAACUGUCUUUUUGCCCUGGUAUGGUUGUUCCUCGUCAUUUCUGCCUUUCGAGGAGUGAGCUCCAGGGUCAUGGGUUGCCCUUCGGGAAGCUUUUGUUUCCUGCGUCACAAUAUUUACUUGAAGUUGACAAGUCCAUCUUUUCAGCAGAAGAAGUGAACUGUGUGUGGUUACAUAACUGUCCAGCAACUACCAGAACAACUCAGUUUUCAAAGCACCUAAAGGGAAACAGAAACAUAAACCAUCAACUAUUUCUAAAGAACUCAGAGUCUCGAGAGACCUUUUCAGUAGUUCAGCAGCCUCUCUAGGGGAAGGGUUUCAGAUGAGCUCUCAGAUCCAAGCUUUUGAGGUUUGACAGCAGUCUGCAGAAGAAGUUUUGGUCUGGGCAUGCUUUUAGGAUGAUAAAUUACUUAAUUAAAUGCAUCACACCUAUCUCUCUUCAUUUCAACAACCACAGAUAUCCACACAGCAUGAGGAAUCCCAGCUGGGUGCAAUCUCAAUUGAUUAGCAUAAUUUGCAGUGCUAUGUGAGUAAACAAACAUCAUAAUUGUUUGGAAUUAAUGAAAGUAAGAGGAAAUUGAGUUAACGAAUAGGGAUAUGGGCUUUAGUUGAUGCUGAGUUCAAGUGUUAAAGAAUGAUAAGUAGCAAUAAAGAAUUGAAGGGAAAAUUUUCA